Molecule: long non-coding RNA, 20299 nt
Filed under: Triticum aestivum (bread wheat)
Lineage: Eukaryota; Viridiplantae; Streptophyta; Magnoliopsida; Poales; Poaceae
Description: long non-coding RNA (TAES_LNC020853)
Source: RNAcentral
CGCCGCCGCCUUUCUGCUCCGCCUCCUCGUCAUCGCCUCAUCGUCCGAGGACCGGCGUCGCCUCCAGCACCCACAGGGCCCCUGCGCCUCGUCCUGACCUCGCCUCUUCCACAGCGUAGCCCCGCCAUGACCGCUCCCCUGCUGCUGAGGCCCAUGGCCGCCGUUGCCCACUGCUGCCCUCCUUCUCCUGUUCGUUGCCGCCGUCAAAGACCAGUAGGCCUCCACAGCGCUAUUUUUUUGCCUCCUCUCGCGCCCUGCAUCGAGCCAUCGGGCCAGGGGUCGCCAGAUGUCGUCCCUGCUGCCGGGGAACCUCGUUUUCACCCGUUUCCGUCUUCGGCGCCGUGCUAGGCCUCCCCGACGCCCUUGCUGUUGCUGCAAGACCACCACGGCGCCGCCAUGGAAUCCCAGGUCCGAAGAUGACCACGACCGUGCAUCUCUCCUUAUACCACUUUGGAGUUCGAGACCAUCAAGUACCCCGACGCUCAUCACCAUGCACGACUGCAACAUCAAGGGAACCACUACCCUCGACUCAGGGACGCCAAGUACCUCUAUGACCCGUGUAUGACUACGUGAUUUCACCAAGUACCCCUUGGAUGCGCCAAGUUGGACUACAUGGACCACCAAGUUUCUCUACCGAUGACUCAAACGACUACGAAAUGCCAAACGUGUACCGCUAUCGUCGACCCUCGAAGAUCCCUUGGACGUCAAGUUCCUCGUCGUGACCCUGACCAUCUACAAAUCGUGUACCACUACUUCCAUUACAACCCGUGAAUGACUACUUCCCUCGACGUUUUUGAACCGCCUCGAAAUGCACGCUUCGAAGGUAUAACCGCCGGAACGAUGCCCGUGAAUGAAUGUAUGUUGUAUGAAAUGCUCGCUGUUGCACCGUGUCCGGCGUGUUUCUUGCACGUUCCCCAUUGCCAUGCCGUCGUCUCGUGGGAACCCGGUUGCCGGGAUCACCCCACCUUCUAUCGCAUGUCACGCUCCCGCCGCACUUUCCUUUGCACCGGGAUCUCAAUCGAGUUACCGAAACCGAUAUGUUGCCGUGGCAUCACUUUCGGAUUCGUUGUCGUGGCACCCCUUUCGUUUCCGCCACGAUGACAAAUGCUUCAUAUAAUGCUCCUAUCAACAUUUUCAUAAAACUUGUUCAUGUCAUCCGCAUCAUGAUAACAACAAUUAAAUGUUUAAAAUGUUGUUUGUGUAAAUUUGAUCCUAUGCCAUGCUAAAAUGAUUUAAUUCAUAACUAUUUAACCGUAGCUCCAAAUUUAAUAAUCUUUAUAUGAAAAUGGGGUAGAAAAAUGCCUAGUUUAACAUGGUGACCUUUAUUUGCAUGUUAAACAACUCUAAAAUUGUGUUUAGGGCAGAACAGUACCAAAUCUAUAAUAUGCUCAUGAGGAGUUUCCGGAAUUGUUGUUCGUUGCUUCCGGCCUCAUUUAAACUUGACUAGAUAGGUAGUUUUACUUUGCUUCACCCUCUUGCCAUGUUAACAACAUUUAAUCUUGUUGGUUACCUAAACAAGAGAGAACUAAAUAAGUCAUGUGGUGUUUUCUUCAAUAUGCAACUCCGUUGCAUAUUGUGCUCCACUUAAUUUGUAGGAUUGUUUGUGCACUUUGCCAUGCCAUGCUUCUUUAAACCGGUCAUGCAUCAUACUUGGUUGUGCAUCAUGCCAUGAUUUUGUGGUGGUUGUUUACUAUGUUGUGUGCUUCUUUCCGGUGUUGCUUCUUCGGGUUGGUUCCGGUAACGUCGCGUUUGUGAGGACCCGUUCGUCUACAUCCAUUUGUCUUCUUCAUGGACUCGUUCUUCUUCCUUGCGGGAUUUCAGGCAAGAUGACCAUACCCUUGAAAUCACUUCUAUCUUUGCUUGCUAGAUGCUCGCUCUUUUGCUAUGCCUAUGCUGUGAUACCUACCACUUGCUUAUCAUGCCUCCCAUAUUGUUGAACCAAGCCUCUAACCCACCUUGUCCUAGCAAACCGUUGUUUGGCUAUGUUACCGCUUUGCUCAGCCCCUCUUAUAGCGUUGUUAGUUGCAGGUGAAGAUUGAAGUUUGUUCCUUGUUGGAACAUGGAGAUGUUGUUCCUUGUUGGAACAUGUUUACUUGUUGGGAUAUCACAAUAUAUCUUAUUUAAUUAAUGCAUCUAUAUACUUGGUAAAGGGUGGAAGGCUCGGCCUUAUGCCUGGUGUUUUGUUCCACUCUUGCCGCCCUAGUUUCCAUCAUAUCGGUGUUAUGUUCCCGGAUUUUGCGUCCCUUACGCGGUUGGGCUAUAAUGGGAACCCCUUGACAGUUCGCCUUGAGUAAAACUCUUCCAGCAAUGCCCAACAUUGGUUUUACCAUUCGCCACCCAGCCUUUUUCUUUUCCCUUGGGGGUCGCGCGCCCAAGGGUCAUCAUUANNNNNNNNNNNNNNNNNNNNNNNNNNNNNNNNNNNNNNNNNNNNNNNNNNNNNNNNNNNNNNNNNNNNNNNNNNNNNNNNNNNNNNNNNNNNNNNNNNNNNNNNNNGCCGGUGGCCACCAGGGGCAACUCUGGGCUGGCCUACCGGAAGUUUGGACGAUCCGGUGUGCCCUGAGAAAGAGAUAUGUGCAGCUCCUAUCGGUAUUUGUCGGCACAUUCGGGCGGUGUUGCUGGUUUAGUUUUACCCUGUCGAAAUGUCUUGUUGUACCGGAAUACCGAGUCUGAUCGGAAUGUCUCGGGAGGAGGUCUAUUCCUUCGUUGACUGUGAGAGCUUGUGAUGGGCUAAGUUGGGACACCCCUGCAGGGAUUUGAACUUUCGAAAGCCGUGCCCGUGGUUAUGGGCAGAUGGGAAUUUGUUAAUGUCCGGUUGUAGAAAACCUGAAGUUGACCUUAAUUAAAAUGAAUCAACCGCGUGUGUUACCAUGAUGGUCUCUUUCCGGCGGAGUCCAACAAGUGAACACGGUGUUGGAGUUAUGCUUGACGUAGGUUGUUUUAGGAUCACUUCUUGAUCAUACUUGUAUCGACCGUGCUUUGCCUUCUCUUCUCGCUCUCAUUUGCGUAUGUUAGCCACCAUAUAUGCUAGUCGCUUGCUGCAGCUCCACCUCAUACUUUUACCUUACCCAUAAGCUUAAAUAGUCUUGAUCGCAAGGGUGCGAGAUUGCUGAGUCCCUGUGGCUCACAGAUACUUCCAAAACCAGCUUGCAGGUGCCGAUGAGUCCGUGCAGAUGACGCAACCAAGCUCAGGAGGAGCUCGAUGAAGACCUUGUCCUUUGUGUUGUUUCGUUCUAGUUGAUCAGUAGUGGAGCCCAGUUGGGGUCGAUCGGGGACCUUUGUCGCAUUUGGGGUUCUUCUUUUAUUUUGGUUCCAUAGUCGGACCUUGAUUGUAUUUGGAUGAUGUAAUGCUUUAUUCAUGUAUUGUGUGAAGUGGCGAUUGUAAGCCAACUAUGUAUCUUUUUCCUUAUGUAUUACAUGGGUUGUGUGAAGAUUACCUCACUUGCGACAUUGCUUUCAAUGCGGUUAUGCCUCUAAGUUGUGCUUCGACAUGUGGGAGAUAUAGCCGUAUCGAGGGCGUUACAAGUUGGUAAUCAGAGCCUUCCCCGACCUUAGGAGCCCCAUUGCUUGAUCGUUUUUAGCAGCCGAAUUGUGUCUAGAAAAAUGUUUUGAGUCAUUUAGGAAUUAUAUAUCGGAGAGUUUAGGAAUUCUUUUUACUUCCCAGUCUCCUCAUCGCUCUGGUAAGGCAUCCUGACGUAGAGUUUUGACUCUUCUCUUAUCAAAUUUCACUAAAAAAAAUUAGGAUCACGCGGGUAUCUUGGAAUCGUUUCGAUGGUUUUAUGAUGAGAACAUUGUCUUGGUGCCUCCUGUCAGGGGUUUUGUGGAAGUGUCCCGGGGAGUUGAGCUCUGAGGUGUUGUCGUCAUAAUUUUAUCGUUGCAGUUCUGGAAUACCUGAGUUUAGUACGCCGACAUCGAAAAUCUCUUUUAUGCAGUUCGUUGGUAAGAUAACCUCGACGCCACCCAGUACUGGGGCGGGAGUUCGGGAGUAUUGCCAUAACUUGUAUAACGGAUGCUUUUCGAAGGUUGAGGUAGAUGAUUUCCGAAGGUUUCUUGGUUAUGUGUUGAAGGAUGGAUACAGCUGGAUGUAGGAUUUGCUAGUUUGGGUGAGAUAUUAUGCUUCCCCUGUAUCCCCAACACCUGAUUGCAUAACCGGAAAAUUUCGGGAGUUUCAUAGGUGGGAAUUCAAGUAGCUCUUAGGAUAUCUUUCCGACAGAUGUAUGAUAUGAAAUUGGGGUUCGACGUCUAGUGGUCCGCCUAUUCACGAUCGAUUUUACAGUGGUCUUGUUGUGUCUUAAAGAGUCCUUGGCUAUGCCGACUCGGGGACGCUUCGUAUGUCAUGUGCACUGCCUUGUACAUGAUGGUGCUGUACGAUCGAGCCCGUGUAGGCCCCACCAUGAAAACUUCGGACGAAAUCUCUAUCAUAUGUUUGUUCCGGCUUAUUUUGCAAGCCAAUCCUUUGUUUUUGUUUUGAGUUGUGGUAUUCGAGUUGCUUCAAUGUCAAGUGUUGAUUCCAUACCUUUCCCAAAUGGUGUUCUCAUAAUCCGACGUGGAUACCAAUCCUUCUUGAUCAUCAAGAUUGUCUUGUCAAUCCUUUUCACCGGCGUGUUUUCUCUUCAAGUGGAUUCGAUCAUUUCAACAUCCGCAAGAUCCUAUCUCAGUUUUUUUCAUCAACGUUGUUUGUUUCAUCCGUCUUCAAGUUGUCUUUGUUUUCCCACCCACCCACCCCUUUUUCUUCUAGGACUCAGAUUUCUCAAUCAAGUACCCAUCUUAUUGGUUAUGAAGUCUCUCCAUUCCUUUCCGUCAAUGUUCUUACCCGGUGGUUCUCAUGAAGAUGCUCUACUAGUUCAAUAUUCUCCAUUCUUUUCCAGUGGAUCCAAUUCAAGCUUUCGGUGUAGAUCAUAUUCUUUUCUGUAUUUCAAAUGCUUUUCUCGUGCCAGUGCACCUCAUAACCAUUCAUUUCUCGCUAUUCAUUUGUUCCGGAGUGCUCAAGAUAUCUCAGAAGGAUCGUCUUGUCAUUCAAGAUCCGUUAAUCCUAUUUUGAGGAUGUUUAUCUCAUUCAAGCUAUUUAACUCAACCGGUGCAACCUCUCUUUCAAAUCAUUCAACGGUGUUUUAUUUGAGUGGGCACUAACCCACAGGUCUUUUCCCAGGAUCUUACCUGACUCUUCUUAUUCUCCCGGAGUUAUUCUCAAAUUCAUUUCAAGUAUGACAUAAGAAUGAAUUGUCAUCAGUCAUAUGUCUUCCUCCAAGAUCUUUCAAAUUCUUUUCACCGUUGGCUCAACCUUUCUAUUCGUCAUCCGGAGUAUCUCAACAAUUCUUGGUGGUGUUCCUUGUCAUCAUUCUCGGAUUUGAACACCGAAGAAGAAUUUCUCUCAAUCUUGUUCUUGCCCCUUCAGGAUUCAUGGUGCUAGCUUUAUACCAUUCUCUCAUAAUUAUUUUCGGUUGUGAGAAUUCUUUUCACCUAUCCGGAGCAAUUCAGGAGCCUUUUCAGUUUGUUCAUCCAGAGCCCAUCAUCUAAGAUUUAUUCAUCCUCAGCUUUCAGCUAUCAUUCUCCAAAUUUUACCAGUGCUUCGUUCAAGUGAUCUUUAAUCGGCUCGUGAUCUCUUCGUUCUCAUGUAUCUAAAUCCUCUCAAGUAUCCUCGUUCAUUUCAUAAUUCUUCCCGGUGUUCCUCUAUCUUUCCUUUGGUCAUUUUAAUUCUGACGGUGGUUCGUUCAAGAUUUCUCUUCCUUGUUUAUCAUAUCAAUUCAUUCGUUGUUCCAAAUCCCACCGGCGGUUCCAUCAAGUCCUUAUCAAGUUAUCAAUAUCUCUCUUAAUCUUUUCUACGAGAAUAAGUAGUGUGCCAAAUCCGUUGCUUGUCAUCAAUUUAAAUUGGUGAAGGAUACGCAUAACAUAAUUCUUACUCUUAUUUCAUCCUUAUGUUAAUCUUUUCUUCCGGAGUUUGUUCACGAUGAUUAAAUUCUUGGGUUCAAGUGCUCACCCUUCUUUCCUGGAGUUCCAACCUCUUUCAAUUAUAUUAUCACGGAGAUCCAUCUAAAUCAUUGCAAGGUUCCACCUUGUGUUUUCAAUUUCUCUUUCUUUUCAUUCCUUUUGUUUACCGGAGUUCUUCAUGAAGGUUCUACAUGAUGGUUCAUCAAGGAUUUAAUUCCUUCUCGAAGUGUUCGUCAAGAUUCUUUUCAGAGGAGCUCAAGCAUUCUUCAUCUGGCAAUCCGGAGUGCAUUUCUUUCUACCGUAUCUUUGGAGGUGGUAUUAUGCCAUUCUUGAUAAUUUGAGUUCAUGUUUCAUGAUUCACAUGUUGUUAAGAAUGAGGUAUUUUAAAUCCAUCAAUAUCGUCAUUGGAGUUAUCUUGGGUUAUAUCUCACCUAAAACCUUCCCUAAGGAUUGUUGCUAUUUAUGGUGCUUAUAAAGGACCCAAGUUCUUCUUUAUCCUCCCGGUGAAAUACGUCCUCGUCUCCUUGGUCAUACCAAUCCAAUUUUUUUCCCGUGAGUGGCAGGUUGUCACCUCAUAAUUUGAGAUGUAUUCUAUAAGACCAUAUCAAGAUUAUUCUUUUUCGUUGUUGGUUUUCAUUUGCAGUCGGAGUGCUGUCCAAAUUAUAUCAUUCUUAAUCCUUUUCUAUCUUGUUUUUAACCGGAGUGGUUUCAAUAUUUAUCUUUCCCUUCAACCUCAAGGUUUUUCGCAAUCUUCUUUGUUUCUCUUUUCUAAAGGAGUGUUUUCGACCUUAUUCACCUUCGUUGUGUUCUUUCUCGAAUUUGUUCAAUCUCGCAAGGUUCCUUGGUUUCACUUGUUUGUCAAAGAAGCAACUUAGUUUUACCUCUUCUCUUUCUCUUCCGUUUUUUCUCCGGUGCCAUUCUAGAUCUCGGGACGAGAUCCUCUCAUAGUGGUGGAGUGUUGUAACGCCCCGAGACCGACGCUCCAGAAGACUUCCAGCUAUUCCGAGUUUUGCCGUGUGUUUCUUUUGUGCUUGCUCUUUUACUUUUGCAUUGCAUCAUGUCAUCAUGCCAUCAUGUCUUUAACCUUUGCAUCUCAACUCAACUAACAAAUUGCAUAGAUGGGUGAUCUAUUUAAAUCGAGGGAAGGGUGACUUCUCUUUAUAACAUAUCGACCCAAUAUUAGGGAGCUAUAUUAAAUAUUUCUUUAAUUUGGAAAUCACAAUAACACACUUGCAUAUUAUCCCAAUGCCUUUGUUAUCUUAAUUCUUGGUUUCCAACCUUGACAUAUAUUCUUUCAUCAUAUUCCGGAGCUCCACCAAAAAUCCGAACAUUUUUGGACCUUCCCAACCCUCACUUCCUAUUCAAAUCAUUUGAAUUUAAAUCAAAUGAGUUUGAAUUUAAAUCUUUCAACCAUGGCUUUUUCUAUUUUCUUGGAAUAAGCACAUUUCUGUGAGUCCGGGAAAAUUAUCUGCGUGUCCAACUUCUUCCCCUAACCCCCCUCUUUCUUUUCUUUCUUAAUCUCUGUUUUUUUCCUUUUUCUUUUAGUAAGGAGAGUCGAGCCAGCCAGGCCUUUUUCCCUCUCCACGGGGCCGGCCUCUAAUGCCAUCCACCGGCCCAUCUACUUCCAGCCGCAGCCCACACCCCACCUAACCCUAGGCCCAGCGAACCUCUCCCUCUCGAUCUCUCCCAGCGCCGCCAGGGAGACCGCUGCCCGACUCCUUAGCCCCGAUCCCCACUCCUUCUCUUCCACCUCGCGCUGCCCCUCUCCUCGCCCUUCCUCGCCCCCGCACGCGAGACCUCCCCGGCCACCGCAUCCCUGCUCGCGCCCAGAUCCCGUCGCCGUCUGGCCCGUGGAGCCGCCCACUGCUCCGCUUCGCCGCCCGGCGCGCCUCGCCGCCCGGCACGCCUCGCCGCCGACCACGCACCCCGUGCCCGAUCCCCUCGAGUCUCCUCUCCGCGCGCGACGGCCCUGCAGACGCCCGCCUCCGUUCGUUGGUGCCCGUCGUCGUGGGAUUUUCCCUCGCGCCACCGGCCUCUGCUUCCCUUCUCCAGGCUGCGUCGCCGCCUUUCUGCUCCGCCUCCUCGUCAUCGCCUUAUCGUCCGAGGACCAGCGUCGCCUCCAGCGCCCACAGGGCCCCUGCGCCUCGUCCUGACCUCGCCUCUUCCACAGCGUAGCCCCGCCAUGAUCGCUCCCCUGCUGCUGAAAACUCAGUCAAUGCAUAAAAAUGUCCAAACGAACCCCGAAAAAUCCCAAAAAUUGACAGAACACUCAUGUUGUUCUAUAUUGACACGAGAAAAAUUUGAAAGCAAUAAGAGGCAAUGGAUAUCGUUUCGUCCCCAAAGGUGGGACGUUCCCUACCGAAACCAUCAGGCUUCUUGUGAGAAGCUGUGGUUUGUGAGAAGCAUAUCGCCAAACCUGCCCCAAAUGGGACAAAAAAUUUAUCACGGCAUUUUGAUGCCGCUCCAUGAUAGCAUGCCAAGUUUCAUGAAUUUCGAACGAGUUUUGGAUUUACUAGAAUUUAAAAAUCAUGUAUCUCAAUGUUUGCGGCCGAGUGACCAUGGCAGGGUGUUUGACAUUCAUUCUCGUUUCUUACAUGGGACCUAAGCAUGCAACCAAGGACACAAAUUUAAAUUUUCAACCAAUUUAUAUGCAUUAGAGCAUGUGCAUGUAGUUCAAAUUUGAAUUAUACACAUAAAUGCAUUGAAAACUCAGUUAAUGCAUAAAAAUGUCCAAACGUACCCCGAAAAAUUCCAAAAAUUGACACAACACUCCUGUUGUUCUAUGUUGACACGAGAAAUUUUUUGAAAGCAAUAAGAGGCAAUGGAUAUCAUUUCGUCCCCAAAGGUGGGACGUUCCCUACCGAAACCAUCAGACUUGUUGUGAGAAGCUCUGGUUUGUGAGAAUCAUAUCCCCAAACCUGCCCUAGAUGGGACAAAAAAUUUACCACGGCAUGUUGAUGCCACUCCAUGAUAGCAUGCCAAGUUUCAUGAAUUUCAGACGAGCUUUGGAUUUACUAGAAUUUAAAAACCAAGUGUCUCAAUGUUUGCGGCCGAGUGACAGUGGCAGGGUGUUUGACAUUCAUUUCCCAUUUCUUGCAUGGGACCUUAGCAUGCAACCAAGGGCACAAAUUUGGAUUUUCAACCAAUUUAUAUGCAUUAGAGCAUGUGCAUGUAGUUCAAGUUAGAAUUAUGCACAUAAAUUCAAUUAAUGCAUAAAAAUGUCCAAACAAAGCACACAAUUGUUCAAAGUGAAUGGUCUGGCGGCACCGCGCGCAAAGUUUCCCUUCACAUUUCCAAAAUUUUGGCCUACCGCCAAAAUAUCUACCCUCGCCCCCUUCCCCACCCCCUUUUCUUCCUGACCACAAGUCACAUUUUCCCUGCUUCCUCCUUCCUUCCUUCCUUCCUUCCUUCCUUCCUAAGCUAUAGCCGCUUCCUCGCUCUCGCCGUCUCGCAUCCUACCGUCGGGGUCGCCAUGGUCUUCUUCAAAGACCUCUCCAGCGGUUCCUCCUCCGGCGUCGACUCCUUCACCACUCGGGUAUGCCUCUCUUCUCUCUAUCGGGCUGUGACUUAGAAUGAAGGAUUUUUACCCGGCGAUCGAUUUGAGUCAUUUCUUCCUCUUGUAGCUCCUUAGGACCAUCAGUGGCAACGAAUGGAGCGGGGUAGCUGAAGAUCUAUCCGCUCAUUGUCACCAUCAAUCUCCAUGCGUGAAGCUAGUUGCGUUUGAAUCAGUGGACAGUGGGAGGAAGUUUCUGGCAUGUGUAGAGAAGGUUAGACCCUCUUUCGUUGUUACAAAUCAUUUGUUAGAUGUGAUUCAGACACUGUCACGGUCCCAACCCAUUCAUACCACACCUUCAACCAAACGCAUCCUAAGAUAGUGUCACAGUUUGAACCUAGUAUCUUAAAUUGUUGCCAUCUCAUCAGCGGUGCCAUUAGAAAAUUAUUUGGCACCGCUUCAGCAGUUUGUGCAGCCAACUUUGAUCCACACAUCCGAGCAGCCAAGUAGUAAAAUACUAAAUCUUUAUGGCACGAAGGAACUGGGCAUCAGAGUAACUACGUGCUCCGGAGUCCGGGUCCCUGAUUUUUUUCCACUGCAUCGGCUCGCCACUGCAGGGCACCGGUGUGAGAUGUAGCAACAAUUGUCUUUACCCCAGUUUUGGCAUAUAUAGUGGACGGCCUUAGUGCUAUUUGUUCCAUGUUACUAAAUUUGUGCAUGUACACAUCUGUUAGUAUCACUUUGUUGUCAUCCAAACACUGUCACUAUGUUGUUGCGGUUAUAUUUACCUUUCUCAUAAAAUGUUCAGUUUGUUAUUUAUUGUACAUGGGUAAGAACUUGCAGCGUUGUUGUAGUUAAUUUUAGUUUAUGAUGUUCCAGAAUUUGGUUCUUGUCUUAGUAGCAAUUAAUUCAUUUGCACAUUGAUCUUUUUGAGAAGAUAUGUCAUAAUUAACAUGUUUCUUCAGUUUUUCAAAAUAAGCAUUGGUGAUUUUCUAUGUUGCUACAAACUCAUUUCCCCUAUAAUUUUUACUGAUCUAGUUUUAAACAUUAUAGGAUGAACAGAAGUGUUCUUACCUGGAGUGGGUUGAUCAAGAGUGGCCACAGUCUUUGAAGAUGUGCCUAGCGAAGCUCUGGAGCAUGUAUGAGGAAGAGAACAGACGUAGGCUUAGAGAAACUAUUGUCAACACUGAAGAAUAUUUGAAGAUGCGGGAUAAAAAGAGGAAGGUGGAGAAUGAGCUCAGGUUUUUUAAAUCAGACUUUGCUAAGAUGAUGUUGGCGAAGGAGGAGGCACUUUCCCAGUUGGCCAGUGCAAAACAAGUUCUUACUGAACUGAAAGCAGAGGUGGAAAGACGAGCCUUGAUGAUCUCGAUUAGGGAAAUAAAUGUAUUGUUCUUAUGAAGUUGAACUAGCUAUAUGUUGUACUGUGCUGUUUUCAUGUAGCUAUCAUACUGUGAUGUUAUAAUAUAUUUAUGUGCCUGAUAUGAAAUUGGCAAACAACUAUUCGAUAUGAAAUGUGAAUCUGCGUAAUACUGGAAUUAUUAAUUGUAAACUAAUAAACCUGCUAAAUGUGUCAUGGACCUUUGCAAAUAGUUCUAGCAGUAAAAGCGCUUGUAAUGGAGGAUAGCCCGAUGCCAUACAGUUUUCUUCAUCAAAUCAUGUGUGAUGUAGUUGAUAAAAGCAAAUAGUUAACCGAGGCAGGCCGUGUGUGAUAGUUACACCUUUCACACACGAGCCUACACAUAAAACUGUGUGGGAUGUACAUAUGAACGAAAACAUUUUCCCUUGAUUGACUAUGUGGGAUGUACAUAAGAAUGGAAACGUAUUCCUUGGAUUGACUGUGUGUGAUAUACAUACCUACGGAAAUAUUUUUCCGGAUUCACCGCGUGUGAUGUACAUACCUAUGAAAAUGUUUUUCUGGGAUUCACUGUGUAGGAUGUACAUACCUACGGAAAUGUUUUUUCUGAGAUUCACCGUGUGGGAUGUACAUACCUACGGAAAUGUUUUUCUGCGAUUCACCGUGUGGGAUGUACAUACCUACGGAAAUGAUUGGGUUUGGAUGCCUCGCCCAAUCGCACACGGCCCCAGCCUGUGUCCCUGGAGGGCCUAUCCCCAACGAUUUCUGGAUCGUGUGGGAAGGUUCCCCUAUCGCCCACACUCACUUGGCGACGGUUCCAAAUGCCGUCGCGGAAAGGGGUUAAAAACCGUUUGUAUAACACCGACGCGUACUAGUGGUUGUCAGACUACAUGGGACUGUUCAUACCUAUACGGUUAGCCUUCGAGGCUAAGUUACCCGAUCUCUUCGGGAAGGUUAUGAGCUUGGCUGCCUUGGCUGGCAUCUCUCCUUUAAAGGAGUAGUUUGAGAAUUAUAAAGGGGAACUCGUCUAUCGAGCCAAGGACUCCGGAUCCGAGGUGGCUCUCGUUACGAGGGUCGUCCUCGGCAUAGAAGACCAGUUCAGGGGCUACUGACGGUGUCCUGGAUUAGGGGGUGCUAACCUGGUCGGCCCAUGCUCCUUGGGUUGGGCCAAUGGGCCCUCAGUCGUGAUCAAGGUGGACUCCGGAGGCCCUGUGUGGGAGGCGUGAUCAAGAUUACCUCCACCGAAGACUUGUCGUAUACUCCAAGAUUUCUCCUGCCGCCCUGCUCCUAGAUACCGACCUUGUAACCCUAAAUACCCUACCUGGCGUGUAUAUAAGCCAUGGGGUUUAGCCCGUAGAGGGGACAUUAACGCAAUAUCAUUCAUCUAGCCCUAGAGUUAGACCACAUAUUACGAUCUCGAUGUAGAUCAACUCUGUACUUAAUACAUAACCAUUAAUAUAAACAAGAGCAUAUGUAGGGUUUUACCUCCAUCUAGAGGGCCCGAACUUGGGUAAAACACCGUCUCUCUGUUCCUAUUACCAUCCAUCCGAGAUCCACAGCUAGGGACCCCCUACCCCGGGGUCUGCCGGUUUUGACACCAACAUUAGCAAUCCGCCGCACAGUGUUCCUCCUGCACACGCGGACAUUGUUAGAGGUGGCGCACUUGCGCCGCUACAGCGAACCUAUUACGUGGGAUCCAACGAUCAGCCAUUCGAGAAGAUCGGACGGGGAAGAGACACCUCGCGGACGCGCUGCCCCAACUAUUCUUCCGCUGCGCGGCACUACGCGGCUAGUGGCAACGAUCUGUGAUCCAUCUCCCUUAGCAUGUUUCUGGAUGUUCUGCGGGUAGGAAAUUUUAAUUUGAGGUCGACACACCCUACCAUAGAUCCCAACACCCCCUACCCUGGAUCAGCUGGAUUUAGCUCCAACAAUCCUAGCACAUGGUCUCGCGACAUCCUUUAUGAUGACCGUUUUGCGGAUCAGAAGAUAGCCAAGAUAAUUUGAGUGACGUGGCCAUUUGGAACUCCAAAAACAAUUGGACACACGAGGAGAAGCACCCUGAUCCGGGCUACUUUGUGAAGCGUGUUAAGGAAGAUCUUUCCAUCAUUGAUAUUCCAACACCAUUGAUUGUUUUGCCAGGGGUAUGGAUGGUGGCCGCGGGGGAUUGAAUGGAUUAAUAUUAAUAUUUAUGUUGCUAUUGAUUCUGAGCAAAACAAAGCGGGUGCUGGUGUUGUUGCUAGAUCACCAACAACCCUGGUUGGCGCAUAGUGCAAACCCCAUAAUGGAGUAACUUAUCCUACGAUUACAUAGAUGCUUGUUGUAAAGGAUGGAGUCAUCUUCAUGAAGCUCAGGGGAUUCACACAUGUCGCAGUGGAGACCAAUUGUGUGGAGGUAGUUAACCUCUGGAACACUCACGGCGAUUCUCAUUUGGUCGUGCCACAUAUUCUUUUAGAAAUUGGAGAACUUGUUUUAGCUUUUUUCUUCUUAUGUAAUUCAACUUGUAAACAGGUCGGCCAAUCUUCUGGUUCAUCUUUGCACCAAGCGAGCCUACGCGUUGAUGAUCACCGAUAGUUGGCUUGACUCAUAACCACCUUUCCUGAUCAGCAACUUAUUAGCUAACUGUCCCAGGAACUCAUUGUGUUGAACAAAGCUCUCAAAUUCCCACAAGCAAAUGCAUAAUUAAUAUUUUUUUAAAUUGUUGUAUAUCCUUGAUGUCUACUUGUUUAUUACACCUUGUACAUUUUAUACAACACAAACAUUUUUAUACACGUUUAACUUUUUGUAAAUACAUAAUUAAUAAUUUUUUCAUAUCUAUGUUUUGAUCUCUAUUUUUCAUACACGUUAUAUAUCUUUACUAGACCAUGACGGCGCGCGUUGCUGCGCCCGUCCAUUUGUUCGAUAUAUUGAUAUUAAUUGUGUAAAUACAUAUAGAUUUGAGAAAUGAAAGUUAAACAUAUUUUUUUGUGGACAAUAUAAUGUGCAAAAUGGAUAUUAUAUGUAGGAAAAUAUAAUUAUGUUUAUAUAAGCUAUAAGAACAUGGGACUGAAAACAACAUGACCAAGCAAAGAUAUUGUACACCAGUGCAGAUAAUUUGCUCCUCGUACCCAAACACAUCUUAUUUUGAUCAUUGCUGCCAGCAACCUCUUCAUCCUCUCUGCAGCAAGAGCGGACCCCAUGUGCCUUCUCUGAAACCGGUCAUGGGCUAGUUCACACAAGAUACAAAAUGGUUCAAUACAUGUGAAAAGACGUUGCCUUUGCAUGAUGCCAGUGUGCCAAAUAUUCCAAGCUGCAAGAGGAUGAAUCAGGUCCUCGAUGGCUUAACAUUUCACAAUCAUAAAUCAUUUGCGUUUACUAUUUUUCCAAUGAAUAAUAUCAUCCUCGAUGGCUACAUAUGUUCUCCGUGUGAAGACUUAUUUUGGGAUGGAAGGAGUACAACAUACCAAUAGCAGGACAUUAAGAAUAUUAGCUUUGGUCCAUAUAAAAUUAGAUAUAUUUCACAUAAAUCCACAACCGAAAUAAGAUAAGGACGAUUAUCAUAUAUGUUUAGAGGAAGAUAUAGGAGUGUGUAAUACAUGAAUGAAUCCCCUGCAUCAAUUUGAUCCAAUUUUUAACAAAUAGGUGUAAGAUUUCAGUCAUAUAUAAAGUCAAAUUUUCAUGGUGGGAUGUAGGUUUUCUUGUCGCAUUCAACAUAAUGAUGAGAAAACUUGUGUGCAUGCAAAGUAGGCCGAUCAUCAUAAGUAAGCUGCAAUUUGAUAUAAGAUACAGUGAUAGCUCAACAAAAUCUUACCAUUUCAAGCUGCAUGCAGCUUGUCUGGAUGCUCAUAAAAUUUCUGAAAAAGUGAAGCGAUUUUUUGAAAUUUAGCAUAAAUAGCUUUCAAAAUGCACCUGUAGAUGUGCAAAAAGGAGAGGUUAGAAACAAAACAAAAUAAUAACACAGGUCUACUUUUGAGCAUCAUCUAUAUGUUUAGUGCCACUGAAAGUGAAGCCCCCCUGCAGACAACUUUUACAGUACGGUAGAAAUGAGGUAAAUGCCAAAAAUAAACAGUGUUAUAUUUGAUUUUGAUAAUGUUAGAAGAUUAUGUGUAUAAUUUAUAUUAUAUUUGUCAAGAAUACAUAUAACAGCAGUUUAUGUAAUUUCCUAAAUUGAGUGAAAGAGUAGUUUACGCGCAAGUACCAAAUUGACCUUCACAGCUCACCAAGACCUUCCGGUCAAAGAAAAGAAGCUUAUUAAUAUGUAGCAAAUACUAACUAAACUUAUUAAGAUCUCGAAGCCAACAAGCACAACUUGCUAUGUUGAUAAGCAUUUUGUUCAAUAACCAUGGACAAAGCUACAAGACGGCACACAAAAAAACGCAGCAACAUGAUGCUCGUUUAGUAUCCAUACCUUAUACCCAUGAUACUCAUCAACUGUCACAUAGGCAGUGUCAUUGCUUAGGCAUCAUCCCUAUUCUUCCACAAGAAAUAAAUAUGACGAUCCACUGUAUCUUCUCAUUUUUAUAUUUCAUUUCUAGUACGUAAUAUUGUGUCGUCGUCCAUCUUUCAAAGUUCCGGUUGUUAAUUCUGCAUCAUCAGGUGUGGCAAACUGGAGUCAACAAAAACUCUGAAUCAUUUAUAGUCUCAGUGUUAUCACAAUCUUCCCUGCCAAAGAAUCAUAAUUGUUAAAAGCAAAACAUAUGUUUAUAAAUUCUACUAUGAUAGAAAUGCACAUGAGAGAAAUGAUGCUAGCAGUUUGGGAAAUCUAGAGGCACCAAAACGACUGCACUUUCAGGAACAACAUGGCAUCUAUGCGAGACGUGCUGCAGGCCAUUAGACGGGGCAUCGAUCUAUGGAGGCAGGCCGGAGCAACAUGUUUGCUGCACCCGUUCACUUUGCUGCCAGAGGGGAUCGGCUGAAGCCUCUCCUCUGCUCCCUUUUCCUUUUUUCCGUAGCAAUAGUCUUGUCUCUUUUAUCUGUUCUCUGAUCAUAGGAUCAGCACUAUGUAUUCUUUUAUCCACUGCUCUCUGUUAUGGGUAAUAUGAAAAAGCCAGUAAUGUUGGAUCUUUCAAAAAAAGAAAGGAACUUGAUUGUGCCCCAAUACAUAGUUUUCAUCUCUUCAUUAGAAUAGUAAAAGACAAUACGUAUGCAUGAGCUGAAUUAGAUCGAUCAAUUAAUGCUAAUUGUCAUGUUUCGCUCACCUGUAUGGAAAGAACAUCGACAUCAUUCAUAAAUUAAAAAAAGGACCGCUUGGGAAAAUUCAAUCAUAUCUAGAGAAGAGAUCUCAGUACAGAACCAACCUUGGUUUCUUUGGACAGAUUCUUAGUGCAGGGAUGAAUCUCUUCCAGUCUCUUAUCUCUUAAACGAUGAUCUAAAGAAAUAUCAACACAUGAGAACAUCCCAUAAACAGGGAUGGAAAGGAGGGGAGGGGGAGGGGCGUUCAAAAGGGACUCACCAGUACAAACCACGGCCAGAUCUGGGCUCUGACAGGCAAAGAAGACACUGUAUCCAUGAAAGGAAGGACGUGGAAACAUAAUGGGCUCCUCGCCGCUGUCGCUGCAAGGAACGUCUAGGGAUGCAUCCUACACUGCAUUCUCGUCUCCACCUAAGUAGCAUCAGGAGGAAUGUAGGGAAGGUAAGAUGAUUUCACCUCCAACACAAGAAGGAAGAAGUUGAUUUUACCUGGAAUCUCUACAAAGCGUAAGGCAGACGGGAGGGAGAUGUCGUGACGCCUCGGGUACGCGUAUAGCGUCGCGGCGGCGAGCGGACCUAGGGCAGACGCCGUCGGAGAGGUCGCGACUUGCGAGAGAAGAGAGAAAAGUACAGAGGAAUCGUGCGGCGUCGCUUGGUUCGCCUUCUCUAGAAAGGCCGAGGUUGGCCCAGUUAACCAGAGAGUCUCAAUUUUGUUACGGGAGCGGCGACCCGUUUCAUUCGCGGAAACUGUUGCGCUUGGAGAUUUAUCCAACGGCCAAAAAUUGAUACUUGUAUAGAUCCGACGAUCAAAAAUACUGAUGGCCUUAGAGGGCUUGAAGAGUGCUCGGUUGUAAUGUCUUUAAAUAUAUACACUCGGAACAUUUUUUAUACAUGUUUACAUUUUUCAAAUGCCCGAUUAACAUUUUUACAAACACAUGUUUCUGAACAUUGUUGUUCGAACAUGUGUUAAUUUUUUUAAUACGUCCUGAGACAUUUUUUGAAAUGCUAUCAGCAUUUUCUAAAAGCUGCACCACCAUAUUUUUAACGCUGCACACACAUUUUUUUUCAAAAUUAAGUAUUUUUUUGAAAUAUAUGUAUUAUAUUUUUUUGAAAUAUAGAAAAACAAAACAAAAAUGCAAAACAAAAUAAAAAACGAAAUCCAGGAACGUACUAAGGAAGCGAGCGGACGCUUCUGGCGUUGACUAGGAGGUCUCAAUGAAAAAUGUACUUUUUUUGACAUGGGCCAACUAUGUAGCGUCGUCUGUACUUUUUUUUUAGAAGUUGCGUCCUGUCUGCUCAUUUGGGCUUGGUGACGAAGGCCGACUAGACCGCGCGCUUUAGCCCAUGGUGCACCUUUGGACCAUUCGCGGCCCACCUGUGAGUAAACCCUAAGCCCGGAUGCCUUCCUAUUUAAUCUCGACCCCCCUUAGGGUUCCCCUCCUUCCUCCUUGCGAGACCAAACCAAAGCUGCGGCGGCGCGCGCAUAGGAGGCGAAUCAGCAGCGGAACCAAGCCGCCGACGCCACCAUGGGUAAGCUCCGCCGAUGUACUAUUCGUUGUUCCCUCGGAGGCUGCCUGGUUUGCACGAUGCUUAUUGCCGCCAUGGUGGCUCUGCAGGUAUCUCGCGUGACUCCAUGCACAAGCGCCGGGCCACCGGUGGGAAGCAGAAGGCUUGGAGGAAGAAGCGAAAGUAAGAGCGAAUCCCCUCCCUUUCCCCCUUCCCUUACGGUUCGUGAAGAUGUGUGGAUGUUCUACGUAGGUUAGAUCCGUGUUUACUUAGAUCAGGCGUGGAUAAAUUGUCGUUGCUGCGGUGGAUAUCUGGGUUUAUCCGACGCGUCUGUACUCUUUAGGAUGAUAGCUCGGUAACUAGCAUUUUCUAGAUCUCGUAUGAUAGCUUGGUGGUAACUAGCCUGGUAAUUACGCGAGUAGCGCGGGUAUUCCGCUUUCUGGUGACUUGAUAACCUUAUCCGUUUACGCACAUCUAUGGUUUUGGCUACAUGCGAACUUCUGAUGUGUUCAUGUUAAUUUGCUGUAACUAAUGUGAACUUGAUGUUGGCAAUAUAACCGGGUCCAUCACUCAUUUUUGUAGUGAUGCUGCUGUUUCGAUGGUUGUUUUGAAGUACAAGUUUUGUGAUUCAGUAUUCUUGCUUCAGAAUGUCCAGAGCGUCAUACUUACAAUAUUCUGUGUUCAGACAUGAUGUUGUCUAUACGUAAACAUGUUUUUAUUUUGUAUUCUGGGAGUUAUUCUUAGCCAUGUCCGCACUUGGUUCUGUUUCAUUCUGGAAAAUGCAAAUUUGAACAAAUGUACUGAUCAACUCUUAGGCUGUUUGAUUCCUUUCAAGAACUUUACACUGUUAUGAAUCUUACUUUGUCCUUCAUCUUUUAUCAGGUAUGAGCUCGGCCGCCAGCCAGCCAACACUAAGCUUUCAAGCAACAAGACAGUGAGGAGGGUCCGUGUUCGCGGAGGUAACGUGAAGUGGAGGGCUCUCCGUCUUGACACUGGUAACUUCUCAUGGGGUAGUGAGGCUGUGACCCGCAAGACCCGUCUCCUGGAUGUGGUUUACAAUUCGUCAAACAAUGAGCUUGUGAGGACUCAGACCCUUGUCAAGAAUGCCAUUGUGCAAGUUGAUGCUGCCCCCUUCAAGCAGUGGUACCUGACUCAUUAUGGAGUCGAAAUCGGUAGGAAGAAGAAAGCUGCUGCAGCUGCCAAGAAGGAACCUGCUGAGGUAUUAUUCCUGUUUCUGUAUUUCAAUUCUGUAUCCUGAGGUUGGUAAUUACUGUAUAGCUUGUUUAGGAUGUGCUACUUAGUUGAAAUGAUUUGGAUUUCAAUUCUGUAUUCUGAUCAACUCUUAUUUGUAGUUGUAGCACAAGUACCAAUUCUUUUUUAUUCUGAUUGCAUGCAUUAGUAUCCUUUCAUCCUGGACUGUUAGUAGUUCCAACUUUUAUCCAGCCUCCUUGCUCAUUGUAUUUCAUUCAUGAAUAAAUUCCUUAAAUUGGUCUUUGUAGAUACAAACUUUAAUGUUUUGAACAUCUUAUUUUAAUGGUUGCAUUUUGCCAGUAAGGCCCCUAGUUUGUAUUAUGCCCUUUUCCCCUUGGAUUGUAUCCAAUCCCUGACCCAGUCUUAUCCCUGUUCACUGCUUAUGUUUGCUUUGUGUGAUUUUCUUAUGCACAGGGGCAAGAGGCUGAGGUUGCUGCUGCUGCCACAGAGGAAGCAAAGAAGAGCAACAAUGUCCAGAGGAAGCUUGAGAAGCGCCAGCAGGGACGUACACUGGACUCGCACAUUGAGGAGCAGUUCAGUGGUGGAAGGCUGCUGGCCUGCAUUUCGUCUCGCCCUGGACAGUGUGGCAGAGCUGAUGGGUAAGCAUCACAGUUCAUCUGUUCAUCACCCCUUGUAUAUUAAAUUCUGGAAGAACAUAAAGCAGUACUCUACAAUUUCUUGUUAGCUAUGGUGUUAAUACUUGUGUCUUGAAACUACAGGUACAUCCUGGAGGGCAAGGAGCUGGAGUUCUACAUGAGGAAGCUCCAGAAGAAGAAGGGCAAGGGUGCCACAGCUUAGGCUGAAGAGCUGCUGCAUGUUACUCGUUGGAUUUUCUUAGAUGUUGCGUCCAUGUCAUGUUUGCAGACAUACUGAACACCAUUUUCUGUAAACGGUUCGAGUCCUAGGUUGAACUGAGAAUGUUUUGCCUGUUUUGGUUGUGAUCUAAAGCUAUCCAGAUUCUAUUAUGUGUUCUACCUUGCAGUAUUUUCAUCUGUUCAGUGAAGUUUUGAUCUUGAGUCUCCAUGUUGAUUUGCUGCCAGCUUUGCCUUUCAGGCAUGUUAGAUUUGUAUGGUUCCUGCAGUUGCAAAGGACCCAUCCAGUGUGAAAACCCGAUCAUGUAUGCAAAGCAAUUUUGAUCAUGGAAUCUGCACAAUUGUUGGCUAUUUUUCUUUCUGGAGAUAGACGAUGACUAGCCGCUACCCCAGCCUGUGCUAAUUCUCGGUAGUGUAGGCGCUUUGCGCGGCUCUCCAUGCCUUUGUAUUCGGUGGUUUUCAUUUUCUGUUACAGGAUUUCUCGCUGCCUCUGGAGUCUGUCAAAAGUGUUACACCUAUUAAAUCCUGUUGUCAGAGCUUUGGUUGUUCAUGUGUCAAGCCUUGUGUGCCCAUUCUUUUUGAAGGUGGUUGAGAGAAACACUUGAGAAGAACUAUCACUGAAGGAAGAUAGCUAUGGAGGGGAGAUCUAGAGAGGUAGUCUUCUCCAAAUUAUUAGAGAUGGAAGUCUUGAAUCCUUGAUGGAUCUUCUCCAAAGGAGGCCAUUUCCAAUUAAGUUAUCGAUGAGCAAAGCCAAGUAAUUCUAUUAUGCUUUCAUAACACAAAAAAAAAAGA